UAGGAUUCAAUCCUUGCUGCU
This 21-nucleotide microRNA is filed under the name Oryza sativa (Asian cultivated rice). Its description in RNAcentral is "osa-miR1425-5p". RNAcentral also lists the same sequence under 1 other name. Lineage: Eukaryota; Viridiplantae; Streptophyta; Magnoliopsida; Poales; Poaceae. The record is from miRBase by way of RNAcentral.